Molecule: ribosomal RNA, 455 nt
Filed under: Streptococcus sanguinis
Lineage: Bacteria; Bacillati; Bacillota; Bacilli; Lactobacillales; Streptococcaceae
Description: bacterial SSU rRNA
Rfam family: Bacterial small subunit ribosomal RNA
Source: RNAcentral
GACGAACGCUGGCGGCGUGCCUAAUACAUGCAAGUAGAACGCUGAAGAGAGGAGCUUGCUCUUCUUGGAUGAGUUGCGAACGGGUGAGUAACGCGUAGGUAACCUGCCUGGUAGCGGGGGAUAACUAUUGGAAACGAUAGCUAAUACCGCAUAAAAUUGAUUAUUGCAUGAUAAUUAAUUGAAAGAUGCAAUUGCAUCACUACCAGAUGGACCUGCGUUGUAUUAGCUAGUUGGUGAGGUAACGGCUCACCAAGGCGACGAUACAUAGCCGACCUGAGAGGGUGAUCGGCCACACUGGGACUGAGACACGGCCCAGACUCCUACGGGAGGCAGCAGUAGGGAAUCUUCGGCAAUGGGGGGAACCCUGACCGAGCAACGCCGCGUGAGUGAAGAAGGUAUUCGGAUCGUAAAGCUCUGUUGUAAGAGAAGAACGGGUGUGAGAGUGGAAAGUUCAC